Molecule: ribosomal RNA, 164 nt
Filed under: Adina fagifolia
Lineage: Eukaryota; Viridiplantae; Streptophyta; Magnoliopsida; Gentianales; Rubiaceae
Description: Adinauclea fagifolia 5.8S ribosomal RNA
Rfam family: 5.8S ribosomal RNA
About the family: 5.8S ribosomal RNA (5.8S rRNA) is a component of the large subunit of the eukaryotic ribosome.
Source: RNAcentral
CUAAACGACUCUCGGCAUAGAUAUCUCAGCUCUCGCAUUGAUGAAGAACGUAGCAAAAUGCGAUACUUGGUGUGAAUUACGGAAUCUAGUGAACCAUUGAGUCUUUGAACCCAAGUUGUGCUCGAAGCCAUCAGGCCAAGGGCACGUCUGCCUGGGCGUCACCC